CCGGGUGCCCCUUUCCAAUAAAGUCUCUUGCUUUGUCAACAUGUGUCUCCUCGGACAAUUCACUUCUGAGUGUUAGACAAGAGCCCACUUUUCAGGCCCUGGAAGGGGUCCCCCUUCCUACAACAAAAGGCGACUCCACCAGGGACUCUUCUUUGCUGAGACUGACAUGUUGAUCGCUCGGGGUACUCAAGGACCAGCUUGCCCACCGAUGGACCAGACCCAGCGGCCACAACUGGGACACUUUUGUCCCUGGUCUCCUCCUGACGUGGACAACUGGCCAGAGUGCCCGACCGGGCUUGAUGCAGAGAAACACAGCAACCUGAGAAACCACACAUCGAAGACGGGGGACGCUCAAGAAGGAAGGAGCAUAGGUUCCAAAAUCACCACUUGGAGGAGAGCUGGUACCAUAAGGAAUACUUGUUUCAUAGUUUGAAUGAGUGAAUAACAAACUUUUAUUGUGUUAAA
Long non-coding RNA from Bubalus bubalis (water buffalo), 465 nucleotides. RefSeq lists it as uncharacterized. The transcript has 2 exons. The record is from RefSeq and is a predicted model, not a curated record. Lineage: Eukaryota; Metazoa; Chordata; Mammalia; Artiodactyla; Bovidae.